This 924-nucleotide ribosomal RNA is filed under the name uncultured Bacteroidota bacterium. Its description in RNAcentral is "bacterial SSU rRNA". It matches the Rfam family "Bacterial small subunit ribosomal RNA", at positions 1 to 916 of the family's 1533-position model. The record is from RNAcentral. Lineage: Bacteria; Pseudomonadati; Bacteroidota.
GGAUCCAGACUUUGAUCCUGGCUCAGGAUGAACGCUAGCUACAGGCUUAACACAUGCAAGUCGAGGGGAAACGACAUCGAAAGCUUGCUUUUGAUGGGCGUCGACCGGCGCACGGGUGAGUAACGCGUAUCCAACCUGCCCACCACUUGGGGAUAACCUUGCGAAAGUAAGACUAAUACCCAAUGACGUCUCUAGAAGACAUCUGAAGGAGAUUAAAGAUUUAUCGGUGAUGGAUGGGGAUGCGUCUGAUUAGCUUGUUGGCGGGGUAACGGCCCACCAAGGCGACGAUCAGUAGGGGUUCUGAGAGGAAGGUCCCCCACAUUGGAACUGAGACACGGUCCAAACUCCUACGGGAGGCAGCAGUGAGGAAUAUUGGUCAAUGGGCGAGAGCCUGAACCAGCCAAGUAGCGUGCAGGAUGACGGCCCUAUGGGUUGUAAACUGCUUUUAUAAGGGAAUAAAGUGAGUCUCGUGAGACUUUUUGCAUGUACCUUAUGAAUAAGGACCGGCUAAUUCCGUGCCAGCAGCCGCGGUAAUACGGAAGGUCCGGGCGUUAUCCGGAUUUAUUGGGUUUAAAGGGAGCGUAGGCCGGAGAUUAAGCGUGUUGUGAAAUGUAGAUGCUCAACAUCUGAACUGCAGCGCGAACUGGUUUCCUUGAGUACGCACAAAGUGGGCGGAAUUCGUGGUGUAGCGGUGAAAUGCUUAGAUAUCACGAAGAACUCCGAUUGCGAAGGCAGCUCACUGGAGCGCAACUGACGCUGAAGCUCGAAAGUGCGGGUAUCGAACAGGAUUAGAUACCCUGGUAGUCCGCACGGUAAACGAUGGAUGCCCGCUGUUGGUCUGAAUAGGUCAGCGGCCAAGCGAAAGCAUUAAGCAUCCCACCUGGGGAGUACGCCGGCAACGGUGCAACUCAAAGGAAUUGACGG